UACGUAGGGUGCAAGCGUUAAUCGGAAUUACUGGGCGUAAAGCGUGCGCAGGCGGUUUUGUAAGUCUGACGUGAAAUCCCCGGGCUUAACCUGGGAAUUGCGUUGGAGACUGCAAGGCUGGAGUCUGGCAGAGGGGGGUAGAAUUCCACGUGUAGCAGUGAAAUGCGUGGAGAUGUGGAGGAACACCGAUGGCGAAGGCAGCCCCCUGGGUCAAGACUGACGCUCAUGCACGAAAGCGUGGGGAGCAAACAGG
Molecule: ribosomal RNA, 253 nt
Filed under: uncultured bacterium
Lineage: Bacteria
Description: partial 16S ribosomal RNA
Rfam family: Bacterial small subunit ribosomal RNA
Source: RNAcentral